ACAUGAUCUGAGUUCAGACCGGCCGCCUGUUUAUCAAAAACAUCGCCUCUUGUAAACCACAGAUAAGAGGUCCCGCCUGCCCUGUGACUAUGGGUUCAACGGCCGCGGUAUUUUGACCGUGCAAAGGUAGCGCAAUCACUUGUCCUUUAAAUGAGGACCUGUAUGAAAGGCAUCACGAGGGCUUAGCUGUCUCCUUUUUCAAGUCAAUGAAAUUGAUCUCCCCGUGCAGAAGCGGGGAUUAGAACAUAAGACGAGAAGACCCUAUGGAGCUUUAGACACAAGACAGAUCAUGUUAAGCACCUCAUAUAAAAGAGCAAACUAAGUGGAACCUGUCUUAAUGUCUUUGGUUGGGGCGACCGCGGGGCAACAAAAAGCCCCCAUGAGGAAUAAAAGUAUUCUUUCAAAAACAAGAGCCACAGCUCUAAUGAGCAGAACAUCUGACCUACCAGAUCCGGCAUAGCCGAUCAACGAACCGAGUUACCCUAGGGAUAACAGCGCAAUCCCCUUUUAGAGCCCCUAUCGACAAGGGGGUUUACGACCUCGAUGUUGGAUCAGGACAUCCUAAUGGUGCAACCGCUAUUAAGGGUUCGUUUGUUCAACGAUUAAAGUCCUACAUGAUCUGAGUUCAGACCGG
RNAcentral lists this ribosomal RNA (634 nucleotides) under Lagocephalus spadiceus (half-smooth golden pufferfish). RNAcentral's name for it is "partial large subunit ribosomal RNA". It matches the Rfam family "Bacterial large subunit ribosomal RNA", at positions 1766 to 2619 of the family's 2925-position model. Lineage: Eukaryota; Metazoa; Chordata; Actinopteri; Tetraodontiformes; Tetraodontidae. The record is from RNAcentral.